RNAcentral lists this ribosomal RNA (497 nucleotides) under uncultured bacterium. RNAcentral's name for it is "partial 16S ribosomal RNA". It matches the Rfam family "Bacterial small subunit ribosomal RNA", at positions 28 to 507 of the family's 1533-position model. The record is from RNAcentral.
GAUGAACGCUGGCGGCGUGCCUAAUACAUGCAAGUCGAGCGAACAGACGAGGAGCCUGCUCCUCUGACGUUAGCGGCGGACGGGUGAGUAACACGUGGAUAACCUACCUAUAAGACUGGGAUAACUUCGGGAAACCGGAGCUAAUACCGGAUAAUAUAUUGAACCGCAUGGUUCAAUAGUGAAAGACGGUUUUGCUGUCACUUAUAGAUGGAUCCGCGCCGCAUUAGCUAGUUGGUAAGGUAACGGCUUACCAAGGCAACGAUGCGUAGCCGACCUGAGAGGGUGAUCGGCCACACUGGAACUGAGACACGGUCCAGACUCCUACGGGAGGCAGCAGUAGGGAAUCUUCCGCAAUGGGCGAAAGCUUGACGGAGCAACGCCGCGUGAGUGAUGAAGGUCUUCGGAUCGUAAAACUCUGUUAUUAGGGAAGAACAAAUGUGUAAGUAACUAUGCACGUCUUGACGGUACCUAAUCAGAAAGCCGCGGCUAACUACGUG